UACGGGGGGAGCAAGCGUUGUUCGGAUUUACUGGGCGUAAAGGGCGCGUAGGCGGUCGUGACACGCCACUUGUGAAAUCUCCGGGCUUAACUCGGAACGGUCAAGUGAUACUGUCGGACUAGAGUACAGAAGGGGCAACUGGAAUUCUCGGUGUAGCGGUGAAAUGCGUAGAUAUCGAGAGGAACACCUGCGGCGAAGGCGGGUUGCUGGGCUGAUACUGACGCUGAGGCGCGAAAGCCAGGGGAGCGAACGGG
This 254-nucleotide ribosomal RNA is filed under the name uncultured bacterium. Its description in RNAcentral is "partial 16S ribosomal RNA". It matches the Rfam family "Bacterial small subunit ribosomal RNA", at positions 524 to 776 of the family's 1533-position model. The record is from RNAcentral.